Molecule: non-coding RNA, 42 nt
Filed under: Stygamoeba regulata
Lineage: Eukaryota; Discosea; Stygamoebida
Source: RNAcentral
ACUCGAUCAACUGCAAGAGCUCUCCCUGAGGUGUCAACCUCC